CUUGGUGUUUGGGUGGCGCAGCUAACGCAUUAAGUUAUCCGCCUGGGGAGUACGGUCGCAAGAUUAAAACCCAAAGGAAUUGACGGGGGCCUGCACAAGCGGUGGAGCAUGUGGUUUAUUUCGAAGCAACGCGCAGAACCUUACCAGCGUUUGACAUCCCGCGCUACUUCCAGAGAUGGAAGGUUCCCUUCGAGGACGCGGUGACAGGUGCUGCAUGGCUGUCGUCAGCUCGUGUCGUGAGAUGUUGGGUUAAGUCCCGCAACGAGCGCAACCCUCGUCCUUAGUUGCCAUCAUUCAGUUGGGCACUCUAAGGAAACCGCCGGUGAUAAGCCGGAGGAAGGUGGGGAUGACGUCAAGUCCUCAUGGCCCUUACACGCUGGGCUACACACGUGCUACAAUGGCGGUGACAGUGGGCAGCAAGCACGCGAGUGUGAGCUAAUCUCCAAAAGCCGUCUCAGUUCGGAUUGUUCUCUGCAACUCGAGAGCAUGAAGGCGGAAUCGCUAGUAAUCGCGGAUCAGCAUGCCGCGGUGAAUACGUUCCCAGGCCUUGUACACACCGCCCGUCACACCAUGGGAGUUGGGUUCACCCGAAGGCGUUGCGCUAACUCGCAAGAGAGGCAGGCGACCACGGUGGGCUUAGCGACUGGGG
Molecule: ribosomal RNA, 649 nt
Filed under: uncultured freshwater bacterium
Lineage: Bacteria
Description: bacterial SSU rRNA
Rfam family: Bacterial small subunit ribosomal RNA
Source: RNAcentral